This 71-nucleotide transfer RNA is filed under the name Marmota monax (woodchuck). RNAcentral's name for it is "tRNA.Ala". Lineage: Eukaryota; Metazoa; Chordata; Mammalia; Rodentia; Sciuridae. The record is from RNAcentral.
GGAGUUGUAGCUCAGUGGCAGAGCGCUUGCCUAGCAUAUGAGAGGCACUAGGUUCAAUGCUUAGCACUACA